GCCGCGGCUCAUCCACGGCGACCAGCGCGGCUCACCGGUGGCUGGUCGCCGUCGACCGCCCCAGCCCCCGCCACCGCGCCCUCCACCCUCGACGCGGCUGGCCCACGAGGACCAGCGCGGCUGCUCCCUCCUCACCGACCACGGCCGCCGCGACGACCAGAUGGGAGAAGCUCCAUGCCGGCGUGGUGGUGCGCCACCGAGCCACCCCCCACACGCCCUGCACCUUGAAUCUAGCCGAGGGAGCUGCGUCUCCAGCCAAGACUACCACUGAUAGAUUCACCUCCGGCGAGAAGGGGAGCGCCACCCACCACGCAGCAGCAGCAGCUCCUUCAUCCAUGGCGCGGAAUUGAAUUUCCAUUUCUGACUAGGCUUUCCAUAAACCACCAUUCCCAUUGUUUGUUUGGUUUCCAUAAUAACAGGUCACCUAAAAUUGGACCCCCAACUUCAUCUGGUAGGGUACCUAGGAAUUUCUACCCACUAGUCAAGACUACAAGUGCAGUAAGUCCAACUUCAUCUGCUAGGGUACCUAAGAAUUUUCCUCCAGGAGUAAAGACUACAGGUGAAGUAAGAAGUACAAGAAAGGACCAUGGUUUGCACAAGCGAGUGGUAUUUUGCAAGAGGGCUCAGAUGUCGGCUAUUAUGUUGGGGGAAAGGAUUACUUCUUGCCGUUUAUUUACACACCUUCUCUUAUCGGGCAGUACAAAAAUUGUUGUUAUUAAUACUGUUGUCCACUAACAUUCUAGAGGUUGCUACAUAAAGGAACUUGGAAUCAAUUAUCAUUGUUGCAAUACAGUGAUAAAAUUGCUAUCACUCCCGUUAGAUACAUACCAAUAAAACAACUCAGUCAACUAGUCAUCCUGGAACCUUAGUCUAUUUCAGUGAUACUACUGAACCUAACCAAGAAUUUUGUUAUGCUGUGCGAACAGGUUAGUCCUUCACUAUUAUUCAAAGCAAACCGUGAGUUUGUAGUCUUGUUAUGUAUUCUGUUAGGGCCCUGUUCAAACUAUUAUUUGCUCUGCUAACACUAUUGCAGUUACCACAACAUAUGCAUGCCCAAUGACAUUCUUUCAUGAUUUGUCCGUGUUGAGUGAUGAUGGUGUUUUUUAGCAGCUGCGGAAAUCUCAUUUUGAUAAACUGACAAGUGUGUGUUUCUAUUUGUUCAGUUUGGGAGGGAAUGUGACAUUGGAUGCCUGAAGGAACAUGGAUGUGCUGCGCCGUGUUGCGUGUGGGAUGCAGCAAGAUGGUGGUUCGUGUGAUCCCUCUUCCGUGUCAUGGGCAGCGAAGCCGGCGGGCUACCCUUGGUCGCCAUGAGCAGGGAUAACCAAGGCUUGUGUAUAUCUCUAUCCUGAUGUUCUCUUCAUACUACAGCAGUGCACCCCUGCAAAACUUCUACAGUUUACUUCUAUAAUUAUUAUCUCAUGGAAACAAACACCAUCUUUGUUGACCAAUGCUCAAUGGGAUAUAUAAUUCAAAUGGUCAGAAAACUACAAAAGAAUUACAGAGCCACAACUGGUUUCUUUUCUUGAUCAAUGGAAGUGUGGAUGUCUCCCCUUCCAGAAAAACGUAGGAGCGUAAAUGACCACAUGAGGCGUGCCAACUUCUAAUGGAAGUAAUGCCGGGAAGAGGUGAAUUCCAUGCCAACCGUGCUGUGUGUAUAUGUGAAAAGACUGACUGAGCUUCAGUACUCAAAUCGAAUCCUGGUGGUAACCAGCUCGUUGGUGAACGGAUUUGCGGAUGGAUCUGACACUGAUGAUGACCCCACAGGGACAAGGAAAGAGAUGAUCACUGAAGAUGACACUGCUACAGGAGAGGAAUUCUGAAGAUUAUCCAACCGUGGCACAGGAUAUGAUUCUUUGAUUAGACAAGAGGUUUCUGAGCUGGAGGAGUAGAUCCUGAUUAGUUAGUUGAGUUAUCUUGCACCUCGAAGGAAUUAUUUGCACACAAGUGUUGUACGUGGUAUACCAGCUAUUAAGAGAAUCUCCUCUGUUUUAUGGAUUUCACUGUAAGCAUUAAACUGUAUUUCUUACUACUAGUAUAUUUUACGAACAAUUUGACAUAA
Molecule: long non-coding RNA, 2059 nt
Organism: Hordeum vulgare subsp. vulgare (domesticated barley)
Lineage: Eukaryota; Viridiplantae; Streptophyta; Magnoliopsida; Poales; Poaceae
Exons: 7
Source: RefSeq, a predicted model, not a curated record